GGAGAGGUGACAGAGCUGGUUGAAUGUACCGGUCUUGAAAACCGGCGUAGGUUAAUAGCUUACCCAGGGUUCGAAUCCCUGCCUCUCCGCCA
Molecule: transfer RNA, 92 nt
Filed under: Gammaproteobacteria bacterium
Lineage: Bacteria; Pseudomonadati; Pseudomonadota; Gammaproteobacteria
Also listed under: 3 other names
Description: tRNA-Ser
Rfam family: tRNA
About the family: Transfer RNA (tRNA) molecules are approximately 80 nucleotides in length. Their secondary structure includes four short double-helical elements and three loops (D, anti-codon, and T loops). Further hydrogen bonds mediate the characteristic L-shaped molecular structure. tRNAs have two regions of fundamental functional importance: the anti-codon, which is responsible for specific mRNA codon recognition, and the 3' end, to which the tRNAs corresponding amino acid is attached (by aminoacyl-tRNA synthetases). tRNAs cope with the degeneracy of the genetic code in two manners: having more than one tRNA (with a specific anti-codon) for a particular amino acid; and 'wobble' base-pairing, i.e. permitting non-standard base-pairing at the 3rd anti-codon position.
Source: RNAcentral